Molecule: long non-coding RNA, 937 nt
Organism: Magnolia sinica
Lineage: Eukaryota; Viridiplantae; Streptophyta; Magnoliopsida; Magnoliales; Magnoliaceae
Exons: 2
Source: RefSeq, a predicted model, not a curated record
AAUUAUCUUACGAUAAUCGUACGAUUAUUUAAGAUUUAUGAUUUGGGUGUACGAUUCAAAUCAUAUAACCAUACGAUACGAUGUGAAUCGUACAAUUUUGAUAACAUUGGUUGCAGGAUCCUUCUAACUAGGUGCCGCUCCUGCAUAGAAUUCGCACUUCAAGCUCUUGCUCUUGCUCCGCCCUUGCACCCGAAUUUGUUGCCGCAUCACUUCACGCUUCAUGCAACUAUAGUCAAAUCACCCAUUGUGCUUCCAUCCACUAUUCUCUAUGCCAGCUAAGUUAAGGAAGGCAAGUUGGCCACUCAUUUAAUCUCCCAAGCUUGGGUUGACUUGACUCAGCAAGUAAUUGAACACGUGUUGUUCAUAAAUGUCUAUGUUGAUCUACCGGAAAUGUUUCUUAGCAAUGCAUGUGCAAUCAGGCAAGAAACUAAUCUUCCACCUUAUGAGUUACAUGUGUUAUCCGCCAUGCCUAGUCGCUAUGAUUUAAUCAUCAAGCACAUCUUCAAUUGCAUCACAAGUCGCUUGAGCACUUGCGGAACCUUAACUUCUUGCGCUUCAAAGCAAGGUGUUCCGUAUCCGCUACAAUACACCUAUAAAGGCCGAUACAUAUAGGUGAUGGCUAUGACUGUUACACGAUACGGGGGUGAAACAGGGCCGUUGGUUUUUUGGGACUGACUGUAUUGGCCGUUACAGGGCAUAACGGCCGUUACCCCUGUAACGGUCGAAAAAUGACAACUUUUUUUUUCCUAUUUAAAUCCAUUUUUCUCCUCAUUUUUUCACUUUUCUCAUUCCAAAAACUCCCCUAGAUCAUUUUAUAAAAGAUUUCGACCACUCUUACAAUAGUUUUUAAGAUUAAAACCGUAGAUUGAAGUGAUUUAAGCAAAUAGAAGCUCCCAGGGCCUUUUUUCCAAAAAAAAAAAAGGAAGUAUUUGUGCUU